CGGGAGCUCAGGCCCGGCCAGCCCGUGACAGCGGUGACCCACGCCCCCGCCGCACCGGCCCAGAUCGGGCGCCUCGCCUCGGGCGCCCACGCGGAGCAGCGGCUCCCCCUUAGCAGGCGGCCGGGCCGAGCCCACUCCCCGCGCCGGAGCAGCGAGCGGCACGGCAGGUCCGAUCCUGCGUACUUCCCAGCAGCGUUUGUCAGCAAGACAGCAUUCCUGCCUGAGGUGCGAGUUCCGCCCCGGGAGGGAAGCCCCGGCCUCCUGUUCCCCGCGCCGCGCAGCUCCGUGUGCUGCAGCCUGGUGCGUGGCUCCGGAUCACAGCGGGACGACGGGCCCGACACCAGGUGUUCUCCACUGCUUCCAGGUUCACGUGUACACCAUGGGAAAGGAAUUAGCAAUCAUGGAGACUUAGAGCAAGGCUCUGAAACAGUGCUGGUGAACCCAUGGCACACGUGCGCAGUAGGCUGUUUGAUAUUACUGAAAGCUCUAAAAGGUUUUCCAGCGCUGCUCUAAAACCAACGCUGCCCCUGCCCUGCUGAAAUACAGACUCCUCCAUCCACCAGCUGUGUGCCUGGGCCUCAGUUUCUUCAUCUGUAGAAGAGAAGUGAUUGUGGCAUCCAUCCCCUGUAAUUGCUGCCGAGGUCAUGUGAAGCCUGACAAAGAGAAUAUUACCAGGCAUGGAUGCUGUCAUGAUAUCAGACUGCUACAAUAACUGUUUUAAAAUGCUGAGGAAGAAGACAUUUUCAGGACUCUCUGGUGAGCUUUCUCUUGGAAGAAAGGAGUGGAUGCCCAGAGCAAGCAGGAUAUGGAAGAUGGAAGAUGGAAGAUGGAAGAUUCUGGAAGAUGCAGGUUAACAGCUGGAAGAAACAUUUGGAAAAGAGUCUGCAAUGGGAGAGCUGUAUAUUGUAGAAAACUUAUCACUGUGCCAUCAGAUAAAGCAAAUCUCUUUAAAAAUCAUUUUUACUAUAGCUAUUAAAAUCUAACAUCUAUUACAAUUUCUAUCAGACAGGUAUCUGCGGUUAUCAGGAUAUUGUGUUCCUCUGAGGUGGAGUAUGGCCAUCGUCACAUGGAAGUGGUCUUUAUUUCAGAGUAAAAAUAACUGGUUUUCAGUUCUCUGAGGUUCUCAAUACGUAGAGGGCAGGGAAACCAAAUUAUUCUUCAUUGAUCCCAUGUUAACUAGCACAUAAGCCCAAUAAUGGGGAGAAAUGUGGAAAAUUUUCUUUUUAUGAGAGACAUGCCUAUAGUGGAGAUCCAUUUUUAGAGUAAAAAUUAAAUUAUUAUAUGCAAGGAAACAAAAAAAGAGUGAAUGAUGUAUUAUUUAGAAUUUUAGCUUGAAGAGCAAUUUGGAUAAAAGGGACAACAGACACAAUAGGGGAGGAAAGAUAGUAGGGAACUGUUUCUUUAGGAAAAAUAACAGAGAAGAAAUUCAAAACAGGUCGUUUGGAUUCAUGCCCUUACGUUCAGUUCACAGGCACACUUAAUAAAUAAAUGCAAACUGUUAUAAUUAACAUGACAAAAGAAGAUGUUUCUAAUGAUGCUAUAAUUAUUAGAAGAAACUCCUUGUUUAACGAUUCAUUCCUCUCAUAGGAGAGAUCGGGUGUAUGUAAAUUUUCCAAAGUAAGCUAUUCAGCCCUCUCAUAUCUGUGUCUCACCCGUAUCUUACAAUAAUAAAUAUAUAGUUCAUAUUUACUGGAGACAUUAGGCCCAUGAAGCAGAGAGGGACAAGUAGCCCUUGAAAGAAAACAAAAGGACAAAGAAGUUCAUGCUAGUUAUAUGAUCACUACUAAGCAUAUCAUUGUCGCAGGUCAUAUGUUCUACAAGUUGCCACGGAAGUGUUCAGUCUUCUUUCUACUCUUUCAGAACCUUACCAUCCUCUCACCAGAGAACUGGAGUUUAUCUCCCUUCCCCUUGUAACUGAAGGCUGUGUGUAGGGUUGCAACGCAUAGAAUGCAGCAGAAGAGAUUGAGUGACCUCGGAGACUCAGUUAUAAAAGAUCACAUGGCUGUCACCCAGCUCUUUCUCCUGGAUGGUCACCAUUGCUCCCAGCCUCCAUGUUGUGAGGAAGCCCAGCUCACAGUGAGGUUGCAUGUCAACAGUCCCGGCUAUGGUGUUACACAGAGAUAAAGAACUAGAAAAGCUAAUUUGGCCAAGCAGGAGAGAAAUGACAUCUCCCAAUAUGGACUACAACUGUAGAACAGUUGAGAAUAGCAGUGUGUAGAGCACAAGGAGUUUAUUUUAGGUAAGCUGUUGUUUCAGCACAAUACUUACAUCACAGUGGGGACAUAGCACAACUUCAUUUAAUUACAUGGAAACCACAUACUGAUGAAACCAGGUAUCUCGACUUUCUGUGUUUCACUCCAACAAGAAGAUUAAAGAGUCAGUACAAGUAAAGGGGACCUCUGUUACCUAAUCUCUCACAAAUUCUUUCUCCUGUGCUUUCGGUGAUAGCACGCUAUCAUUAUUUCUCUGCAGUUAACGAACUACUAUAUCAUGUGCUUGAUUGAGCUGCCGCUGAGGUUCUUUAGCUGCUUGUUGCAUGGGAAAGGUAAGGAUUGUGUCUGGCUGAGAACAGGAUGCGUCUUCCCCAGAGUGGCAGAGUUAGCACAAGAAUGGAGAAGUCAAGCAAGGGGAGCCAAGCAGCAUCUUCCCAGAGAUGGAUAAAGAGGGGUGCACCUCUUGCUCUACUUAUUCUUUAGCUGUAAGGACACCAGCAGCCAGUUCCUCCUGGAAAAAGUCUGGACUCAUAGAGCCAGGCCAUGGAAUGAGAGGCUCCAUCCAGAGCGAUGGCCCACAAGACCCCAUGGCCAGUCGUGCCCCAUGCUACUUGUGUCCCCUGUUUUCUAGCUAGGGAUCCAAAAACUGCCUUUUUUGGCUACUUGUCAGCAAUAAGCCCUAAAUGGUAUUUAUGGAAACCGUUCAGCCAAUAUGAAUCAUUUUGAGACAUGCACAUAACAGGAACACAAACGCAUGGUUAUCACAAUGUUCUCUUGAGAGGCAAAACGCUCAGGAAAAUACAGCGGGAAAUUAGGCAACUCAGAUCAAAUCACAGCAACUGUUCCAGAACAGCACCUAAAAAGGGAGAUAACUCAGAAACAUUAGAAAAUUCUAAAUGAAAGGAAUUCUAACAUAAAAUCACAAACACAAAGAACCUCAGUAUUACACAAAAGACCUAAAAAGAAAAAAGACAGGAAGGAAGGAAUGAAAGGAAGUGAAAGAAAAGAAAAGAAAGUCAUUUCUAUUCCUUGAUAAUAAACUUGUUGCCAUCUGUUUCACAGUAACACGAUGGUUUCAUUUCCUCCAAAUGAAGCAAAUAUUGGAUAUCAAAAAUUGAGUUGCAAAAAUAAUUGUUUUAAAGGAAAUAAAAGAGGUUAGGCCCUAAACAGUGAUGGAUGGCCCAAAGUAACAUUUUUUUUCCUUGCAGAUAUUUUAAUGAUAAAUGGAUUCUCUAGUCAGAAGUACAUUUUGUACUAAAAGAGGGAAUAAGAGGAAUUUACCCAGAAAGUUGUAUGAACAGCCACGGGUUGUCUUGGGCUAUUGUAAUUCAAGAGUUUGUGAGAAUUCAAAAGGUGCCAAGGCUGAUGCAAAUCAUACCAAAGUUAUAGGAAUGGCCUUUUUAUUUGCAUCCCGAGCAAGGACAGUAAAAAAGGGACCAGUCCAUUUCACGGAUCAGAACGUAGAAAACUAAGUGGUGUGAAGUGGGUGCGGUUCUAGUUCGCUGGCAUCUUCUAUCAACGAGAAUGACUUCCACCCUGGGAAAGGUGGAAUAGAUAGGGCUGUCGGAGUGGAAACCUGAGGUGGAUUGGUAGGUAGUAGAGUGCCAAGGUGCUGAGGAGAGAAGCUCUUGCCUCUGAGUCCAGAGCCUGGUGCCCUGUGUCAUCACCUCUGUGGUCCCCAGCUCAGGGGAAACCGGCAGCACUGGCCAAGGAGGGGCCGGGCAGCUCAGGGAUGCAGUGGGUGCUGCAUAUGUGGAGGGCCUGGGUUUGAGUCUAAGCAACCCCUCCCCAAGAAAGGUCAUUAAAAGUCACUCAAAUUUGUUUUAAAGUAGUAAACUUAGAUGCUAGGAAACUAGACUUUUAUGUAUUUAAAAAUUGUAGGACUUAGUAUUAAAUUAGUUUAACAAACAUUUAGUCAAAAGCCAAACCAAAAGUAAACAAUGAUUGCUAGACGCAGAAGUGCACACCUAAAUUCCCAUCACUUUAGAAGGCUGAGGCAGGAGGAUUUUAAAUUCAAUUCCUACCUGGGCCACCUCCUGAUACUACGUCUCAAAAAAUAAAAUAAAACACUAAAAUGAAAGAAGGC
RNAcentral lists this long non-coding RNA (4299 nucleotides) under Heterocephalus glaber (naked mole-rat). RNAcentral's name for it is "lncRNA (ENSHGLG00000037679.1)". Lineage: Eukaryota; Metazoa; Chordata; Mammalia; Rodentia; Bathyergidae. The record is from RNAcentral.